This is a long non-coding RNA of Scophthalmus maximus (turbot), 1392 nucleotides long. RefSeq lists it as uncharacterized. The transcript has 3 exons. Lineage: Eukaryota; Metazoa; Chordata; Actinopteri; Pleuronectiformes; Scophthalmidae. The record is from RefSeq and is a predicted model, not a curated record.
AGCUGUGUGUUAGCUGUGUGUUAGCUGUGUGUUAGCCCAGCUGUGUGUUGGUCGUGUCAGCGCAGAGAGCCGUCAGACAGCGGCCCCUGGCCGCAGCAGGGACACUAACCUGCCCGGUGCCGGAGGAUUUAAAGUGAAUGAACCGACGUUUACCUUCUUGCGGUGACUUUAUUCCAACAGCAGCUGAAACUCUCAGAGGAGCGUCAUCAAGCCAGACCGGAAACACUGGGCGGCUCUUCUACUUCUUCUCUCGUUUGACUUCCGGACUGACCAGCUGAGUGAUCCGGUCUCUGGUGGUGGUGCAGCUGUGGACCGAGUCCAGCUUCUCCUCCAGGGUGUCGAUGAAGUCCAGCAGAACAUUCACAACCUCAACCACAGACCUGAAACACAGACCAGAACCACAGACCUGAACCACAGACCUGAACCACAGACCUGGACCACAGACCUGGACCACAGACCAGCUGCGACACUGCUGAUCAGACCUGGUUCACCUGUUUUCUUUGUCAGUGGUUUAUUUUCUGCUGCUCUGAUGUUGCAGCUGAUUCUGAACCUGAGCCUCGUGUUCCAGACGGAGGAUGUGGUCUGUGGCGUCUGUGGCGUUCAGGCUACUCGUGGUUGUGGUUAAUAUGUGGGGGAGUGCCUCUACCUGUGCAGGUGAGCCUGAACCGGCAGGUUGGUGCGACCCAGUGGAGUCAUCAGUCUCUGCCUCAGCCUGUUCUGCUCCUUCAGCAGCUGCUGCAGGUGAUCACAGAACAUCUGCAGCAUCUGGAACCGGCGAGCUGAGGGGGCGGGACAGGGAGUCAUCAGACACAUGGCACAGGCUGAGUCAUGUGACAACCAGGACACGACACUAACACCCACCGAGGGAUCGAACAUGUGUGACGUGGGCGCUCUCCCUCUCCACCUGCAGAAGCUCCGCCUCCAGCUGCAGCUGCAACAGCAGAAGAAGAAGCGACUGUAUAUACAGACGAUCAGUGACUGAAUGUCGCUCAGAUAAACAGGAUGUGACUUCAGACUGACAUGCACCUCAUCCAGCUGUCUCUGUGUUCUGAUUCGCUGCUCAGCCUCUUGCAGGUGAGAGGAGAAGGCAGGACUUUGCCUGGCGGAGAAGUCUAUUUCCUCCUGAGGACAGAAGAGUGAAGCCGUGACCUCUAACCUGAGACAGCGCUCCUCUGGACACACAUCUGGACAACAGGCUCGCGGCCGGAGUCACCGAGAACACGGACAAGUCCCGCUGCAUCUGAAACACACAGUCAUAAACUUGAUUAAUAUUGAUGCCAAAGUGAAGAGAAGCAGCUCUUCAGUCAGAACACACUUCACUUUUCUUCUGUUCGCGGUUUUCGUUCACACAGACGAUAAGAAAUUAUUAAAAUGUCAGAUUCUUCAACGAGA